GGAUCAUUGCUGGAAGCGCCGCAAGGUGCACCCAGAAACCCUUUGUGAACUUAUACCUACAUCGUUGCCUCGGCGCUGGCUGCCCCUCCCUCGUGGAGGGGGCCCUAAACCUCUGCCCCUCGGGGCUCUGGCGCGGGACAGCAGGCCCGCCGGUGGCCUACUUAACUCUUGUUUUUACUGAGUAACUUCUGAGUAAAGCUUCUAAAUAAAUUAAAACUUUUAACAACGGAUCUCUUGGUUCUGGCAUCGAUGAAGAACGCAGCGAAAUGCGAUAAGUAAUGUGAAUUGCAGAAUUCAGUGAAUCAUCGAAUCUUUGAACGCACAUUGCGCCCUCUGGUAUUCCAGAGGGCAUGCCUGUUCGAGCGUCAUUUCAACCCUCAAGCCUAGCUUGGUGUUGGGGCACUACCUGACUGUUUUACAGGACGGUAGGCCCUGAAAUUUAGUGGCGAGCUCGCCAGGACUCCGAGCGCAGUAGUAAAACCCUCGCUUUGGACUGUACUGGCGCGGCCCUGCCGUAAAACCCCCAACUUCUGAAAAUUUGACCUCGGAUCAGGUAGGAAUACCCGCUGAACUUAAGCAUAUCAAUAAGCGGAGGAAAAGAAACCAACAGGGAUUGCCCUAGUAACGGCGAGUGAAGCGGCAACAGCUCAAAUUUGAAAGCUGGCUCCGGCCCGCAUUGUAAUUUGCAGAGGAUGCUUUUGGUGAGGUGCCUUCCGAGUUCCCUGGAACGGGACGCCAUAGAGGGUGAGAGCCCCGUAUGGAUGGACACCAAACCUGUGUAAAGCUCCUUCAACGAGUCGAGUAGUUUGGGAAUGCUGCUCAAAAUGGGAGGUAAAUCUCUUCUAAAGCUAAAUACCGGCCAGAGACCGAUAGCGCACAAGUAGAGUGAUCGAAAGAUGAAAAGCACCUUGAAAAGGGGGUUAAACAGUACGUGAAAUUGUUAAAAGGGAAGCGCUUGUGACCAGACUUGCGCCGGGCAGCUCAUCAGGGGUUCUCCCCUGUGCACUCUGCCCGGCUCAGGCCAGCAUCGGUUCUCGUGGGAGGAUAAGAACAGUAGGAAUGUGGCCCCCUCUCGGGGGGGUGUUAUAGCCUAUUGUACGAUACUCUCGUGGGGACCGAGGU
Molecule: ribosomal RNA, 1122 nt
Filed under: Sordariomycetes sp. genotype 796 JMUR-2016
Lineage: Eukaryota; Fungi; Ascomycota; Sordariomycetes
Description: eukaryotic LSU rRNA
Rfam family: Eukaryotic large subunit ribosomal RNA (bases 540-1122)
Source: RNAcentral